Molecule: ribosomal RNA, 558 nt
Filed under: uncultured bacterium
Lineage: Bacteria
Description: bacterial SSU rRNA
Rfam family: Bacterial small subunit ribosomal RNA
Source: RNAcentral
AGCUAAUAGAUACCCCGGUAGUCCUGGCCGUAAACGAUGGGUACUAGGUAGGGGGGUGCCAAACGCCUCUCUGCUGGAGCGAAAUGUAUUAAGUACCCCGCCUGGGAAGUACAGUCGCAAGGCUGAAACUCAAAGGAAUUGACGGGGGCUCACACAAGCGGUGGAGCAUGUUGUUUAAAUUCGAAGCAACGCGCAGAACCUUACCUGGGCUUGACAUGCUGGUGGUAGAAGCCUGAAAGGGUAACGACCCCCUCUGGGGGAGCCAGCACAGGUGUUGCAUGACUGUCGUCAGCUCGUGUCGUGAGAUGUCGGGUUAAGUCCCAUAACGAGCGAAACCCCUGUCCCUAGUUACUACCGGGUAAAGCCGAGGACUCUAGGGAGACUGCCGGUGUUAAACCGGAGGAAGUGGGGAUGACGUCAAGUCCUCAUGGCCCUUACGCCCAGGGCUACAAACGUGCCACAAUGGCGGGUACAGAGUGAAGCGAAACCGAGAGGUCGAGCAAAUCACAAAAAGCCCGUCCCAGUUCGGAUUGAAGGCUGCAAUUCGCCUUCAUGAAG